GGUCUGUGUUUGCUCAAUGGCUUUGGUGGGAGAAAUGGAUUUAACAGCAUAUAUUCAUGUCUUUUUUCAGAGUGGGCUUUCUCAGUCACAUCUUUUCUCAGAGCUGACUGGCAGCUAUCACCUUGGUAGGGGGUGGGGUUGAAGGAGGAGGGACUAGGGCUAGAACCAGGUUGAAGUGUUGCUUCCCCUCUGCUCAGUGGCUAUAACUGCUCUAUCAGAGGAGGGGUCAGGUGCCAAGCUACAGCAGAAGCUCUCAGGGUUGGGUGCCAGCUGGCUAAGUUCCCUUUCAAUGUGUGCUUUUGCCCUUCCUAGCACUGGCACCCUCAGUCCAAGAGAUGAGCUGUGUUAGAACAAGAGAUGUGGUAGGGUAGUUGGCAAGGACUGAAAUGCAGCGUGUGGUAUUUUUGCCACUGUCUGAUCCACUCUGCCUCUGAUGUGCUGCCUGUGCAAUUGCAAGUAAUGGCUGCCUCCUCAGCAUCUCAGUCAAGCUUUUUCUCUGGUCAUGGCCACCCAUGCUCAGUACGGAGUUUUACAUGAGGCAAACAAUGCUUAGUCUUUGUUCAGCUCAGGUUGGGGUGGGUGCCAGGACAGUCAAAGGAAACAGGUCAGCCAGCUACAGGGUUCAAUCCACCAUUUCAGCCCUGCUUUGAGAGUAAGCAGGUGCUUGUGUAUUACUUACAGGAAGAGUUUAGGCUUCCCACAGCCCUCCAACCAGAACUCCAUAAAACGUGAGGGUGAUGAAUGGAUAAAGCAGGAAGCCCCAGGUCAAAACAAGAAAGCACGUUUCUUACUGUGGGUGUUAGAAGAAAGAAGAAAUCAUCUCUAUUUUCAGUUCUCCAUGAAUGGGAAGUCAAACUAGAAAGAAAAGCAUUAAUUAAGCAUUGGUAUUUUUAAGACCACAAUUUUAGUUACUUCUCUCCUUUAUUAAAUGAAAGAAAAUAUACGUGGAAAAAUUAAA
Long non-coding RNA from Bubalus bubalis (water buffalo), 958 nucleotides. RefSeq lists it as uncharacterized. The transcript has 3 exons. NCBI's taxonomy places the organism in Eukaryota, Metazoa, Chordata, Mammalia, Artiodactyla, Bovidae. The record is from RefSeq and is a predicted model, not a curated record.